UACGAAGGGGGCUAGCGUUGCUCGGAAUCACUGGGCGUAAAGCGCACGUAGGCGGCUUGCUAAGUCAGGGGUGAAAUCCUGGAGCUCAACUCCAGAACUGCCUUUGAUACUGGAGAGCUUGAGUCCGGAAGAGGUGAGUGGAACUCCGAGUGUAGAGGUGAAAUUCGUAGAUAUUCGGAAGAACACCAGUGGCGAAGGCGGCUCACUGGUCCGGUACUGACGCUGAUGUGCGAAAGCGUGGGGAGCAAACAGG
RNAcentral lists this ribosomal RNA (253 nucleotides) under uncultured bacterium. RNAcentral's name for it is "partial 16S ribosomal RNA". It matches the Rfam family "Bacterial small subunit ribosomal RNA", at positions 524 to 776 of the family's 1533-position model. The record is from RNAcentral.